RNAcentral lists this ribosomal RNA (500 nucleotides) under uncultured bacterium. RNAcentral's name for it is "bacterial SSU rRNA". It matches the Rfam family "Bacterial small subunit ribosomal RNA", at positions 28 to 573 of the family's 1533-position model. The record is from RNAcentral.
AACGAACGCUGGCGGCAUGCCUAACACAUGCAAGUCGAACGAUCCCUUCGGGGAUAGUGGCGCACGGGUGCGUAACGCGUGGGAAUCUGCCCUCAGGUACGGAAUAACUCAGGGAAACUUGAGCUAAUACCGUAUAAUGACUUCGGUCCAAAGAUUUAUCGCCUGGGGAUGAGCCCGCGUCGGAUUAGCUAGUUGGUGAGGUAAAAGCUCACCAAGGCGACGAUCCGUAGCUGGUCUGAGAGGAUGAUCAGCCACACUGGGACUGAGACACGUCCCAGACUCCUACGGGAGGCAGCAGUGGGGAAUAUUGGACAAUGGGCGCAAGCCUGAUCCAGCAAUGCCGCGUGAGUGAUGAAGGCCUUAGGGUUGUAAAGCUCUUUUACCCGGGAAGAUAAUGACUGUACCGGGAGAAUAAGCCCCGGCUAACUCCGUGCCAGCAGCCGCGGUAAUACGGAGGGGGCUAGGCGUUGUUCGGAAUUACUGGGCGUAAAGCGCACGUA